AGGGAGCGGCGGACGGCUGAGUAGCGCGUGGGUGACCUGCCCCGGAGUGGGGGAUAACGUCCCGAAAGGGAUGCUAAUCCCGCAUACGCCCGUCGGAGGACGGUGAAAGCCGCAAGGCGCUCUGGGUGGGGCCUGCGUCCCAUUAGCUUGUUGGCGGGGUAAUGGCCCACCAAGGCUUUGAUGGGUGGCUGGUCUGAGAGGACGACCAGCCAGACUGGGACUGAGACACGGCCCAG
Molecule: ribosomal RNA, 236 nt
Filed under: uncultured bacterium
Lineage: Bacteria
Description: partial 16S ribosomal RNA
Rfam family: Bacterial small subunit ribosomal RNA
Source: RNAcentral